ACAUGGAUUUGCUAGCAAAAUAGCAGCAAUUGAUGAACUUGGUGUUAUACUAAGAUUUACUAAAUGUGUAAAGAAACAACGAAAAGUAUAUAUCAAUCAGAGUCAUUAUCUUGAUCAAUUUUCGAUGGGAUCUCCAAAGAAAGUAGCUACAUGUGCAGACAACAUGAAACUUCAGACUGCAGAAAAUUUCACAAUCCAUUAUCAAACUUA
Molecule: non-coding RNA, 210 nt
Organism: Paramuricea clavata
Lineage: Eukaryota; Metazoa; Cnidaria; Anthozoa; Malacalcyonacea; Plexauridae
Source: the annotation of a GenBank genome assembly